This is a long non-coding RNA of Gasterosteus aculeatus aculeatus (three-spined stickleback), 2688 nucleotides long. NCBI's taxonomy places the organism in Eukaryota, Metazoa, Chordata, Actinopteri, Perciformes, Gasterosteidae. The record is from Ensembl.
CUACACAAACACACCCAAACACAGAAACAUGUCAGGAUACAAUAUGAAAGCCCAGCAAAUUUCCCACAAGUUAUGAGUUUGAGUUUAUGAAUUUUACAAGAAUCUUCAGUCAAGCCAUGUCAGCAUUUGAGGCUGAAAACGGUGAGUAUACUUUCAAAAUAAAAUGUAAGACGUCGACAAAAUAGCUUAUUACCACUUUGACUAAAUGCCUGAUUGAUACACAUUAGGUAGUGUAGUUAUAAGUUAAACAUUUCAAAGGGAAAUAGUUAUCCUAACGUAUCUUUAACUUCAUAGCAUGCGUUGUUGACGCCAAUGCAUUUUACAUGCUUGGAAAUCGUUUAUAUAUAAUAAUUUAUUUUAAUUUAAAAACGAGGAAAACCCCCCAGUUAUUUAUAUAUGUUUGUGUGUUCUUGUGCUCUACACGGUUCAUGGAGUUUAACGCUUUAUUUUUCACCAGUUUUAGCUGUACAGAGAGCAUUUAAAAGCUGCACUCAAAUGAAGGUGACCGAACAUGCUUUUAUUUUGGUAAGCGCAUAUGGAACGUCGUGUCGUCAUGCUCGAUACAUUUGACGCCGCGGUGACCGUGACGGAGUCAGGAAACAAGCCAAGCCGAGCCGAGCCGAGCCGAGCCGCGCAGCGGCUGCAUUACCGCACAGACCGCAGCCUUUUACCUGAAGAUGGAAGCACACCCGGGGAAGACGUCCGCUGUCAGGGCGAACCACCGAGACGGAUAAAAGGCGCAGAGCUCCGGCCGUUAGGGGGGAGGGGGGGCGGAGCUGGUGUGGGUGUCACGCCGCGUGCGUGCAGGUAAACCGCCGCAGGCAGCCAGAUAGCUUAGCACCAGACGCUAACGUAACCAGCGGGGCGAGUUGGGGUCGGAUGAACUGUUGUCAGACCCGAACGCCCAGCGUGGAUAUUUUUAAUCGAGCGAAUAUUUAACUGUCAUCGCAAAGGACCCGCAAAGCCUCCUUUUUAUUGUUUUCUUGUAUUAUUUUGUUUUGCCCUCGAGGAUAUUGUCGCGGCUGCCGGUGGCGGCAGCUUGAUUGACAGCCCGUCUCAGCGGGUCCUCCAGAUGUGACAGUGACGCUCGGGCGCUUCAUAAGUCAGCCGGCCGCAGGAGCGGCUGCCCGCCGCGAAUGGCUGCCCGUCUGGAAGUCCCGGGCGGACUCUUAGCUCGACCGAACCGCGUCAACGCGCGACCAACGUCCUUCUGGCAGCGAGGCGCCGCCGCCGCCGCCGAAGCGGACACGUUGCUGGCCCGCUAACCGACCGACGUGACACCGAGAGGCGUGACCCGCGCCGCCGCUGCUGUUAAUUAACAUUACUUCACAGUUUAAGUCAUGAAGAGGACGGAGAAUAAGAACAAGAGGAAGCUCUUGGAGCACCAGGACAGCGGCGCAGCGGAGAAAGAUGCGUGUCCCUGUGGGUGGCCAGCUGUGGACCUCCUGAAGGCACGGUCAGUACAGACUGGGGGAAGCUGGAAUGUUACAAGCAGAAACCUGCAGGCUUCGCACUCGCUGCUGUUUGAAUGCAAACACACGGCUGUUUGCACGGCUGCACCCAACGCUCAUUUCAUGAUCACUCCAUCGCGUCUCGAUGAAUUCAAGAUAAUAUUGCGGACCUCCGAUGGAUGUUAAGCUGCUACGAUUGAAGCCGGAUGGAAUCUGAGCCUUGCAUGGAGAGAGUUUGGAGGAUCCAACAGCAACAAUCAAAGCGGGUUCAAUCCUAAAUACCAUCCAUGAACAAACACUGCGUAUUCUAGUCAUAGUGGUCUCUAACUGUAUAGAGAAGCCUUAACAGGGAAAAAUAAAUAUAUUUCACUUUUUUUCAGCUUGUGAAAUGAGGUCAACCAAUCAGAAUCCAGCGCUCCAACCGCUCUGUUCUGCAGGUGUUGUCGGGGGCUUUUUAGCUGCUGGUCCUCUCCUCCCCUCUUUGCCAUAAUGGGAGAGUGAAGGUCCAAGGCUGCGGGAUAAUGGCGGCGUCUCAAUAACUCGCCACCCCAUGUUUACACACCCUGUAAAUAUGUUUCAUAACCUUUUGGGCUCCGGCCAGUAAAGGAGCUUCCAACAAAACAUCCUGCUUCCUCCAGCUCGGCAGCUAACUACACGGGCCCAAACAUGGCCGCCUGUUUCCCCCGGCAACACACCAUACCUCCUGAUCCUUCUCACCACACCUCGUCUGGAUGCAAUUGCACACAGGCUUUGUGACCUCAUUACAGGUGCUACAUUCAUAAAAUGAUCAGUCUCAGUUCGCUGUUAUCACUUGACCUGUAAACGUACACGCUGCUGUAGCAAAAUAAUUUCCUCUUGCAGGAUAAUGGUAACUAUCUAUGUAUCUGUCCAUUUCAUUCAAUGUAUUUAAUAUAUUUAUAUCUACACUAUCUAGUCCAUCUAAUCCAAACUAUAUUUCUAGCACUCUGUGUUUAUGAGUACAAGUCUAUAAGAAAAUGACUUCACUUCUCACCGGAUUUAUGACCUCAGUAACUCCGGUUGGCAAUCGACAUAUGGGUGAUGUCACCACAUCUAGGUGUACUUCUUUUAUGGUAUCCACGAGCCGAACAUAAAAAGCUGAAAACAGAGGCUGUUGUUGCGUGUUGGUGACGCAGACCGAUUUAUCUCCUGUUCGAGAUCGAUCGUAAACAUUUGAGUGCGGAAAACAAAGAACGGAAAACAAAGCCGCACUGUGCAC